GAGUUUGAUCCUGGCUCAGAACGAACGCUGGCGGCGUGCCUAACACAUGCAAGUCGAACGUGAUCCAGAGCUUGCUCUGGUGAAAGUGGCGCACGGGUGAGUAACGCGUGGAUAACCUACCCUGGUAUCCGGGAUAACAUUCCGAAAGGGGUGCUAAUACCGGAUAAGCCCACGGGCUCUUUGGAGCUUGCGGGAAAAGGUGGCCUCUAUUUAUAAGCUACUGUAUCAGGAUGGGUCCGCGUACCAUUAGCUAGUUGGCGGUGUAACGGACCACCAAGGCGACGAUGGUUAGCUGGUCUGAGAGGAUGAUCAGCCACACUGGAACUGAGACACGGUCCAGACUCCUACGGGAGGCAGCAGUGGGGAAUUUUGCGCAAUGGGGGAAACCCUGACGCAGCAACGCCGCGUGAGUGAUGAAGGCCUUUGGGUCGUAAAGCUCUGCCAGAGGGGAAGAAAUGAUAUAGUGCUAAUACCACUUUAUCUUGACGGUACCCUCAAAGGAAGCACCGGCUAACUCCGUGCCAGCAGCCGCGGUAAUAC
RNAcentral lists this ribosomal RNA (540 nucleotides) under uncultured Geobacteraceae bacterium. Its description in RNAcentral is "bacterial SSU rRNA". It matches the Rfam family "Bacterial small subunit ribosomal RNA", at positions 9 to 526 of the family's 1533-position model. The record is from RNAcentral. Lineage: Bacteria; Pseudomonadati; Thermodesulfobacteriota; Desulfuromonadia; Geobacterales; Geobacteraceae.